CAACCUAUACCCGAAAUCCCAACUACACACUCCAACUUUACGGGUGUCCUAUUACCCACCUGAACUUUAUAAUUCUCUAUUUUAUACACACCUAAGUGCUGACCUGUCAUGGGAGGUGUUCUCACCUUCUCUAGGCGCGUUAGAAGGUGAAUUUUGACGAAAAUUUUUCGAGAAAAUAGUCAUCUUCCCCCAAUUAAUCAAUGAAAGGAUUCAAUCUCAAUUGACCUCCAUUAAUGGCAUUGCUAGUGCUUUCGUUUGUUCUCCCUCUUUUGCUGCUCGACCAUCAGCCACCACUGUCGCCGCCUCCGGCGAAAUCCAAACUACCAACAAAACCUCGUUCUCCUCUUCCCUAUCCUCUUAUCUCUCUCCCAUUCCGAGACAACCACCAUAAAGACCUACCUCUGUUCUCACAACAAGGUCGACAACAACAACAACAACAAAACCUUGCGGCUGCACUUCUCCAACUAGCGAGCUCCGGCAAAGCAAAGAAGCAAGCAAAAUAGAUCUUUUUAGAUUAUUUUUCAAUGUUCUCCGACAAGCAAAACUCGAAUAUCGCUUGACAAGCUCCCGCUAUCAAUAUUCAUCUUUGUUCCUCACAAUUCCAUAGGAAUUUGAAAGAAUUGGGGGAAGAAAUUACCUUAGAGAUUUUAAGAAAUUGGGAGAGUAUAGGAAAAAGUGGAAAGGAAUUAUAAAAAAAUUGAAAAAAAAUAAUAAAUUAAUUGAAUUUUCACCUGUAAAACGCGUGAAGUUCACAGGCCAACACAGAUCUGGUUAUGGCGUUUUAGGGGUGUAAUUAUUAC
RNAcentral lists this long non-coding RNA (800 nucleotides) under Solanum tuberosum (potato). RNAcentral describes it as "long non-coding RNA (STUB_LNC003589)". Lineage: Eukaryota; Viridiplantae; Streptophyta; Magnoliopsida; Solanales; Solanaceae. The record is from RNAcentral.